ACGAGAACGGAUUAUAGCUUGCUAUAAUUGUCAGCUAAGUGGCGCACGGGUGAGUAAUGUAUAGGUAAUAUGCCUCUUACUAAGGGAUAACAAAUGGAAACGUUUGCUAAUACCUUAUACUCCUUAUUAACAGAAGUUAAUAAGGGAAAGAUUUAUUGGUAAGAGAUUAGCCUGUAUUGUAUCAGUUAGUUGGUGGGGUAAUGGCUUACCAAGACUAUGACACAUAACUGGUUUGAGAGGAUGAUCAGUCACACUGGAACUGAGACACGGUCCAGACUCCUACGGGAGGCAGCAGUGGGGAAUAUUGCACAAUGGACGAAAGUCUGAUGCAGCAACGCCGCGUGGAGGAUGACACAUUUCGGUGCGUAAACUCCUUUUAUAUGAGAAGAUAAUGACGGUAUUAUAUGAAUAAGCACCGGCUAACUCCGUGCCAGCAGCCGCGGUAAUACGGGGGGUGCAAGCGUUACUCGGAAUCACUGGGCGUAAAGAGCAUGUAGGCGGAUUAAUAAGUUUGAAGUGAAAUCCUAUAGCUUAACUAUAGAACUGCUUUGAAAACUGUUAAUCUAGAAUGUGGGAGAGGUAGAUGGAAUUUCUGGUGUAGGGGUAAAAUCCGUAGAGAUCAGAAGGAAUACCGAUUGCGAAGGCGAUCUACUGGAACAUUAUUGACGCUGAGAUGCGAAAGCGUGGGGAGCAGACAGGAUUAGAUACCCUGGUAGUCCACGCCCUAAACGAUGUACACUAGUUGUUGUGAGACUUGAUCUUGCAGUAAUGCAGUUUACACAUUAUAGUGUACCGCCUG
RNAcentral lists this ribosomal RNA (799 nucleotides) under uncultured Arcobacter sp. RNAcentral's name for it is "bacterial SSU rRNA". It matches the Rfam family "Bacterial small subunit ribosomal RNA", at positions 66 to 875 of the family's 1533-position model. Lineage: Bacteria; Pseudomonadati; Campylobacterota; Epsilonproteobacteria; Campylobacterales; Arcobacteraceae. The record is from RNAcentral.